This 87-nucleotide transfer RNA is filed under the name Ampelomyces quisqualis. It matches the Rfam family "tRNA". Rfam says of the family: Transfer RNA (tRNA) molecules are approximately 80 nucleotides in length. Their secondary structure includes four short double-helical elements and three loops (D, anti-codon, and T loops). The record is from Rfam by way of RNAcentral. Lineage: Eukaryota; Fungi; Ascomycota; Dothideomycetes; Pleosporales; Phaeosphaeriaceae.
GCCAUGAUAGUUUAGGGGUAGAAUUGAAGCUUCCCAUUGCAAUGCAUGGAUAUGCUUCAGGCGCGAGUUCGAGUCUCGCUCAUGGCA